CACUCAGUGUGUCAGGAAAUGAGUUCAACCAUGGAUUCGUAUACAUUGAAGUCCACAUCAGAUUUGUCUGCUCUCUGACCUGAUUGAGUGAGGGAGGAGUGCAGAGAGAAUAUGACGGAAAUUGAGGAGGAAGCCCAUGCUUGCAGAGAGUUAGUGAGAUCUGAAGCCCAUGCCUGGAUGAACUCAUUUAAUUUGAGCACACAGAGCUCAAAUCUGGUGUUCAAAAAUAAGGCGGAGGCCACAAAGUUCUCAUGUUUAAUUUUCAUGGGCCGUGCAAAAAAAUUUUGGACUUUUUGUGAUCCCACAACCCCACCCCCACAUAUAAUUGGCUUUAAAGGGUUCAGGGUUCUGUUCUUUUAUUAUUUGUUUCUCUCUUUUGGACCAAAAGGCAGAUUCUGUUCAUUAUUUCAAAGUAUUAUUAUUUUUUUUAGAAAUUUGAAAGAUUGUUUCAAACAUUGAUAUAUAAACACAGUGCAGUUUGGCAUAUCAAAUCAACCUGCAGCUUCCUUGGGACUCUAAUUCUUAGGAAUGCUCGACAAUUGGUCUUAUUAAUGGUUGUCUUCCAGAGGAAUUAAAGAAGUUCUUGGUAUAAGGAGCUAUAGCUCCAUUGAAGAAGUGAGAGGCAUACGACAAUAUUUCUUCAGUAUGGUAUGUCAUUUUAACGAUUGGAAUUCCACAAUUUGAUUAGUUUUGAUAAUUUCCGGAAGAAGAAGAAGGCCGUGUGUCUAAGUUUUAAAAAGCACACUUUGUAAUGCUUCAAAAUUUCAUGCUUUUUUCAAGAAUUCAGACAGGCAGGGUGCAGAUACUUCUAACUUUAUCAAGGUUAGUGAAUUAUGUGGUUUCUCCACGGGGUGCAGUUUUAUUGGUGCUACUGUUACGUCUCUCAUUAUUAUUAGCUUUUCUUUCUCUUUGUUCAUAUUUUUGUCUUCGAGGAUGAAUCAUUGGAAGCAUAAUAUGUUUUUGCAUCAUGCUUUUCUUUUUCCCACUAAAGUGGCAUCAAUAGUUAUUGUAUUCCUCCUCUACAUACCUCUUUAUACGAACAACUGAUGGACUUUACGGUGUACAAGCAAACUGGUUAUGAGAGUAUUAAGUGAGUUUCUAUAAGACAAGGUGAUAGAUUAGCAAGUCUGAACUCAGUUUCUUCUUACUAAUUGUGCAAUGUCUUUACAUGUUAGCUUAGUUGAAUGUAUAUAAAAGUCAAGCUGCUUAUCUUAUCGACCUCAUUCACUCAUGUGCCCUUCUGUUCAUUCAUGAUUGUGUUGAAUUUAUUCAGGUUAAAUGUGUCUUAUUCAUGUAGUUACGCCUGAAACAGUGGUUCCCGCCGCAACACGCGGGCUUAUUUUCUAGUCUUACUCUAAAUUAGUGUAAUAGUUUCGAACUCUUUUC
Non-coding RNA from Malus domestica (apple), 1386 nucleotides. NCBI's taxonomy places the organism in Eukaryota, Viridiplantae, Streptophyta, Magnoliopsida, Rosales, Rosaceae. The record is from RefSeq and is a predicted model, not a curated record.